AUGACUUGCUAGGGGUGCUUUAUUGAGCUGAAAGAGGUCUUGGCCUCAACCCUUUGUACCUGAUCUAGAUAAUACUAGCGUAGGGAAGCAAACGACGACCGAC
RNAcentral lists this non-coding RNA (103 nucleotides) under Staphylococcus microti. RNAcentral describes it as "TPP sequence". It matches the Rfam family "TPP riboswitch aptamer (THI element)". Rfam says of the family: Vitamin B(1) in its active form thiamin pyrophosphate (TPP) is an essential coenzyme that is synthesised by coupling of pyrimidine and thiazole moieties in bacteria. The previously detected thiamin-regulatory element, thi box was extended, resulting in a new, highly conserved RNA secondary structure, the THI element, which is widely distributed in eubacteria and also occurs in some archaea. The record is from RNAcentral. Lineage: Bacteria; Bacillati; Bacillota; Bacilli; Caryophanales; Staphylococcaceae.